RNAcentral lists this ribosomal RNA (492 nucleotides) under uncultured bacterium. RNAcentral describes it as "partial 16S ribosomal RNA". It matches the Rfam family "Bacterial small subunit ribosomal RNA", at positions 29 to 507 of the family's 1533-position model. The record is from RNAcentral.
AGUGAACGCUGGCGGUAGGCCUAACACAUGCAAGUCGAACGGCAGCACAGUAAGAGCUUGCUCUUACCGGUGGCGAGUGGCGGACGGGUGAGGAAUACAUCGGAAUCUACUUUUUCGUGGGGGAUAACGUAGGGAAACUUACGCUAAUACCGCAUACGACCUACGGGUGAAAGCAGGGGAUCUUCGGACCUUGCGCGAUUGAAUGAGCCGAUGUCGGAUUAGCUAGUUGGCGGGGUAAAGGCCCACCAAGGCGAAGAUCCGUAGCUGGUCUGAGAGGAUGAUCAGCCACACUGGAACUGAGACACGGUCCAGACUCCUACGGGAGGCAGCAGUGGGGAAUAUUGGACAAUGGGCGCAAGCCUGAUCCAGCCAUACCGCGUGGGUGAAGAAGGCCUUCGGGUUGUAAAGCCCUUUUGUUGGGAAAGAAAAGCAGCAGGUUAAUACCCCGCUGUUCUGACGGUACCCAAAGAAUAAGCACCGGCUAACUUCGUG